Molecule: ribosomal RNA, 442 nt
Filed under: Escherichia coli
Lineage: Bacteria; Pseudomonadati; Pseudomonadota; Gammaproteobacteria; Enterobacterales; Enterobacteriaceae
Also listed under: 2 other names
Description: bacterial SSU rRNA
Rfam family: Bacterial small subunit ribosomal RNA
Source: RNAcentral
GUCCCGCAACGAGCGCAACCCUUAUCCUUUGUUGCCAGCGGUCCGGCCGGGAACUCAAAGGAGACUGCCAGUGAUAAACUGGAGGAAGGUGGGGAUGACGUCAAGUCAUCAUGGCCCUUACGACCAGGGCUACACACGUGCUACAAUGGCGCAUACAAAGAGAAGCGACCUCGCGAGAGCAAGCGGACCUCAUAAAGUGCGUCGUAGUCCGGAUUGGAGUCUGCAACUCGACUCCAUGAAGUCGGAAUCGCUAGUAAUCGUGGAUCAGAAUGCCACGGUGAAUACGUUCCCGGGCCUUGUACACACCGCCCGUCACACCAUGGGAGUGGGUUGCAAAAGAAGUAGGUAGCUUAACCUUCGGGAGGGCGCUUACCACUUUGUGAUUCAUGACUGGGGUGAAGUCGUAACAAGGUAACCGUAGGGGAACCUGCGGUUGGAUCAC